GACGGAGGGUGCUAGCGUUGUUCGGAAUCACUGGGCGUAAAGGGCGCGUAGGCGGCCUUGCAAGUCGGUUGGUGAAAGCCCGGGGCUCAACCCCGGAGGUGCGGCCGAGACUGCAGGGCUGGAGGCCGGAAGAGGAGGGUGGAAUACCCAGUGUAGAGGUGAAAUGCGCAGAUAUCGGGAGGAACACCUAUGGCGAAGGCAGCUCGCUGGGACGUUACUGACGCUGAGACGCGAAAGCGUGGGGAGCAAACAGG
Molecule: ribosomal RNA, 254 nt
Filed under: uncultured bacterium
Lineage: Bacteria
Description: partial 16S ribosomal RNA
Rfam family: Bacterial small subunit ribosomal RNA
Source: RNAcentral